CCUUUUGUAUAAUGGGUCAGCGACUUAUAUUCUGUAGCAAGGUUAACCGAAUAGGGGAGCCGAAGGGAAACCGAGUCUUAACUGGGCGUUAAGUUGCAGGGUAUAGACCCGAAACCCGGUGAUCUAGCCAUGGGCAGGUUGAAGGUUGGGUAACACUAACUGGAGGACCGAACCGACUAAUGUUGAAAAAUUAGCGGAUGACUUGUGGCUGGGGGUGAAAGGCCAAUCAAACCGGGAGAUAGCUGGUUCUCCCCGAAAGCUAUUUAGGUAGCGCCUCGUGAAUUCAUCUCCGGGGGUAGAGCACUGUUUCGGCAAGGGGGUCAUCCCGACUUACCAACCCGAUGCAAACUGCGAAUACCGGAGAAUGUUAUCACGGGAGACACACGGCGGGUGCUAACGUCCGUCGUGAAGAGGGAAACAACCCAGACCGCCAGCUAAGGUCCCAAAGUCAUGGUUAAGUGGGAAACGAUGUGGGAAGGCCCAGACAGCCAGGAUGUUGGCUUAGAAGCAGCCAUCAUUUAAAGAAAGCGUAAUAGCUCACUGGUCGAGUCGGCCUGCGCGGAAGAUGUAACGGGGCUAAACCAUGCACCGAAGCUGCGGCAGCGACGCUUAUGCGUUGUUGGGUAGGGGAGCGUUCUGUAAGCCUGUGAAGGUGUACUGUGAGGUAUGCUGGAGGUAUCAGAAGUGCGAAUGCUGACAUAAGUAACGAUAAAGCGGGUGAAAAGCCCGCUCGCCGGAAGACCAAGGGUUCCUGUCCAACGUUAAUCGGGGCAGGGUGAGUCGACCCCUAAGGCGAGGCCGAAAGGCGUAGUCGAUGGGAAACAGGUUAAUAUUCCUGUACUUGGUGUUACUGCGAAGGGGGGACGGAGAAGGCUAUGUUGGCCGGGCGACGGUUGUCCCGGUUUAAGCGUGUAGGCUGGUUUUCCAGGCAAAUCCGGAAAAUCAAGGCUGAGGCGUGAUGACGAGGCACUACGGUGCUGAAGCAACAAAUGCCCUGCUUCCAGGAAAAGCCUCUAAGCAUCAGGUAACAUCAAAUCGUACCCCAAACCGACACAGGUGGUCAGGUAGAGAAUACCAAGGCGCUUGAGAGAACUCGGGUGAAGGAACUAGGCAAAAUGGUGCCGUAACUUCGGGAGAAGGCACGCUGAUAUGUAGGUGAAGUCCCUCGCGGAUGGAGCUGAAAUCAGUCGAAGAUACCAGCUGGCUGCAACUGUUUAUUAAAAACACAGCACUGUGCAAACACGAAAGUGGACGUAUACGGUGUGACGCCUGCCCGGUGCCGGAAGGUUAAUUGAUGGGGUUAGCGCAAGCGAAGCUCUUGAUCGAAGCCCCGGUAAACGGCGGCCGUAACUAUAACGGUCCUAAGGUAGCGAAAUUCCUUGUCGGGUAAGUUCCGACCUG
Molecule: ribosomal RNA, 1401 nt
Filed under: Escherichia coli
Lineage: Bacteria; Pseudomonadati; Pseudomonadota; Gammaproteobacteria; Enterobacterales; Enterobacteriaceae
Description: partial 23S ribosomal RNA
Rfam family: Bacterial large subunit ribosomal RNA
Source: RNAcentral